CGACCCCAGGUCAGGCGGGACUACCCGCUGAGUUUAAGCAUAUCAAUAAGCGGAGGAGAAGAAACUUACAAGGAUUCCCCUAGUAACGGCGAGCGAACCGGGAUCAGCCCAGCUUGAGAAUCGGGCGGCUUUGUCGUCCGA
RNAcentral lists this ribosomal RNA (141 nucleotides) under Berberis heteropoda. RNAcentral describes it as "partial 28S ribosomal RNA". It matches the Rfam family "Eukaryotic large subunit ribosomal RNA", at positions 1 to 141 of the family's 3401-position model. RNAcentral also lists the same sequence under 2 other names. The record is from RNAcentral. Lineage: Eukaryota; Viridiplantae; Streptophyta; Magnoliopsida; Ranunculales; Berberidaceae.